Molecule: ribosomal RNA, 405 nt
Filed under: uncultured bacterium
Lineage: Bacteria
Description: partial 16S ribosomal RNA
Rfam family: Bacterial small subunit ribosomal RNA
Source: RNAcentral
GAUGAACGCUGGCGGCGUGCCUAAUACAUGCAAGUCGAGCGAAGCGGGGACGGGUGAGUAACACGUGGAUAACCUCCUUUAAGACUGGGAUAACUUCGUGAAACCGGAGCUAAACCGGCUCCUUACAGCUGGAUGCGCGUGGCAUUAGCUAGUUGGUAAGGUAACGGCUUACCAAGGCAACGAUGCAUAGCCGACCUGAGAGGGUGAUCGGCCACACUGGAACUGAGACACGGUCCAGACUCCUACGGGAGGCAGCAGUAGGGAAUCUUCCGCAAUGGGCGAAAGCCUGACGGAGCAACGCCGCGUGAGUGAUGAAGGUCUUCGGAUCGUAAAACUCUGUUAUUAGGGAAGCGGUACCUAAUCAGAAAGCCACGGCUAACUACGUGCCAGCAGCCGCGGUAAUUC